This is a long non-coding RNA of Astatotilapia calliptera (eastern happy), 625 nucleotides long. The record is from Ensembl. NCBI's taxonomy places the organism in Eukaryota, Metazoa, Chordata, Actinopteri, Cichliformes, Cichlidae.
GAUCUAAGUAUUCAUGCAUCUAGUCUGAAGUAGAUGUACUGUCAUUGCACCAGAGCAGUUUGAAAUUAUUUUCUUUUUUGUUGUUUUACAGAUUCAUGCUUUAAGAGGCCUCAGAGCGAAAAUCAGCACUCUGCUACAAACCACAUGACCAAGCAAGAUGAAACUCAACACAUUUCUCCUGUUCAAGUUGAAUCAGAGGAUGUCACAUAUUCUUUGGUGGAGCUUAAAAACACCACUCCAAGGAGUAAGUACUUUAUGUUGGAAACAUUUAGGGGUUUAGAUGUUUUUAAAGCGAGCAAUAUUUAAAGAAAAUAAAGAAAAUUGUGUUUUCUUUUUUUUUCUUUUUUUUGUUUGGUUUUUGACAUUUGUCUUAUCCUUCUGACAGAGAAGCCCAAGAUACCAGAGGAGAGUUGUGUUUACUCUGAUGUUAAAAUACGACCUUCCUCAGGAAAAUCAGAUCCUGCCACAGCCCAUGAAAUGGUUUAUUCUGGACUCAAACCGGGAAAAUAACUUGGUGACUGUACAGCAGUCACCAAGCCCCAGCAGAGAUUUUUCACUGUAAUUAUGUACUUUUAGACACAUUAGAAUGUAUUGUAAACAAAAUAAAUAUAUCUGCAAGUUACCA